CCUAGUAACGGCGAGUGAACAGGAAAAAGCUCAAAGUUGGAACCUGUUUGGCCUAGCUAAACCGGAUUGUAAACUGUAGAAGUGUUUUCCAGGCAAGCCGGACCGAUAAGUCCUUUGGAACAGGGCAUCAUAGAGGGUGAGAAUCCCGUCUUCGGUCUGAGCAUUUGCCUUUUGCGAUACACUUUCAAAGAGUCAGGUUGUUUGGGAAUGCAGCCUAAAUUGGGUGGUAAAUCUCACCUAAAGCUAAAUAUUGGCGAGAAACCGAUAGCGAACAAGUACCGUGAGGGAAAGAUGAAAAGAACUUUGAAAAGAGAGUUAAACAGUAUGUGAAAUUGUUAAAAGGGAACCGUUUGGAGCCAGACUGGCUUGUCUGUAAUCAGUCUAAGUUUCGGCUUGGAUGCACUUGCAGGCUAUGCCUGCCAACGACAAUUUGGCUUGAGGGAAAAAACUAGGGGAAAUGUGGCCCAUUCGUGGGUGUUAUAGUCCCUUAGAAAAUACCUUGGGCUGGAUUGAGGUACGCAGCGAAUGCUAUUUGGCGAGUUGGCUGGGAAUAUUUUCUGAGGCGCUCCGGCACUGAGGUUGAUAUUCCCAGUUACACUUCUAU
RNAcentral lists this ribosomal RNA (604 nucleotides) under Rhizopus microsporus var. microsporus. RNAcentral's name for it is "eukaryotic LSU rRNA". It matches the Rfam family "Eukaryotic large subunit ribosomal RNA", at positions 79 to 618 of the family's 3401-position model. Lineage: Eukaryota; Fungi; Mucoromycota; Mucoromycetes; Mucorales; Rhizopodaceae. The record is from RNAcentral.